GAAGACCAAGGGUUCCUGUCCAACGUUAAUCGGGGCAGGGUGAGUCGACCCCUAAGGCGAGGCCGAAAGGCGUAGUCGAUGGGAAACGGGUUAAUAUUCCCGUACUUGGUGUUACUGCGAAGGGGGGACGGAGAAGGCUAUGUUGGCCGGGCGACGGUUGUCCCGGUUUAAGCGUGUAGGUGUGUGUUCCAGGUAAAUCCGGUUCACUUUAACACUGAGGCGUGAUGACGAGGCACUACGGUGCUGAAGCAACAAAUGCCCUGCUUCCAGGAAAAGCCUCUAAGCAUCAGGUAACAUCAAAUCGUACCCCAAACCGACACAGGUGGUCAGGUAGAGAAUACCAAGGCGCUUGAGAGAACUCGGGUGAAGGAACUAGGCAAAAUGGUGCCGUAACU
Molecule: ribosomal RNA, 395 nt
Filed under: Salmonella enterica subsp. enterica serovar Sandiego
Lineage: Bacteria; Pseudomonadati; Pseudomonadota; Gammaproteobacteria; Enterobacterales; Enterobacteriaceae
Description: partial 23S ribosomal RNA
Rfam family: Bacterial large subunit ribosomal RNA
Source: RNAcentral